GACGAACGCUGGCGGCGUGCCUAAUACAUGCAAGUAGAACGCUGAAGAGAGGAGCUUGCUCUUCUUGGUUGAGUUGCGAACGGGUGAGUAACGCGUAGGUAACCUGCCUUGUAGCGGGGGAUAACUAUUGGAAACGAUAGCUAAUACCGCAUAACAAUGGAUGACACAUGUCAUUUAUUUGAAAGGGGCAAUUGCUCCACUACAAGAUGGACCUGCGUUGUAUUAGCUAGUAGGUGAGGUAAUGGCUCACCUAGGCGACGAUACAUAGCCGACCUGAGAGGGUGAUCGGCCACACUGGGACUGAGACACGGCCCAGACUCCUACGGGAGGCAGCAGUAGGGAAUCUUCGGCAAUGGGGGCAACCCUGACCGAGCAACGCCGCGUGAGUGAAGAAGGUUUUCGGAUCGUAAAGCUCUGUUGUAAGCCAAGAACGGGUGUGAGAGUGGAAAGUUCACACUGUGACGGUAGCUUACCAGAAAGGGACGGCUAACUACGUG
This 497-nucleotide ribosomal RNA is filed under the name uncultured bacterium. Its description in RNAcentral is "partial 16S ribosomal RNA". It matches the Rfam family "Bacterial small subunit ribosomal RNA", at positions 28 to 507 of the family's 1533-position model. The record is from RNAcentral.